Molecule: non-coding RNA, 21 nt
Filed under: Caenorhabditis elegans
Lineage: Eukaryota; Metazoa; Nematoda; Chromadorea; Rhabditida; Rhabditidae
Source: RNAcentral
UUUAUUUUCCUUUUAUUUGAU